Molecule: unclassified non-coding RNA, 201 nt
Filed under: Hevea brasiliensis (rubber tree)
Lineage: Eukaryota; Viridiplantae; Streptophyta; Magnoliopsida; Malpighiales; Euphorbiaceae
Source: RNAcentral
GCAAUGUCUAGUGAUGCGUCGUCGUCUGGAGUGGCUCUCGAAGGUCUCGACCAUGUAGAGGACUACAUUUGGGCAAAUGAAGGUGCAGGAUCAUUAUCUUGGGAUCGGUUUAGUCAUGUUUUUGAUCUGGUGCAAAAUGGAAACCAGGCAUUCCGAGAGAAUCAUUUUGAGGAGGCUAUCAAUUAUUAUUCAAGAGCCAAC